Cercocebus atys (sooty mangabey) is the source of this 1780-nucleotide long non-coding RNA. RefSeq lists it as uncharacterized. The transcript is spliced from 3 exons. The record is from RefSeq and is a predicted model, not a curated record. NCBI's taxonomy places the organism in Eukaryota, Metazoa, Chordata, Mammalia, Primates, Cercopithecidae.
CUUAAAGUCAUGAGUAGCAAAACAAUUGAACAAUUUGAAUGAUUUGAAUGUUAACCAAGAUCUUCCACUUACAAAUCUUCCUUAUUUAGGAAACGGGAAAAAAAAAAAGAGAUCCCACCUCUCUUUAAAAUCAGAUAAGAAACAUUCCGGUAGUAGUGAUGUACACCCUUUUAAUUAUCAAUCAUAAAUGUUUAAGUUUGUUUAAAAAGUAUUUAUUAUUAACAGAAAAAAUAAAAAUUGGCUUCCUGAAGGCCAAUUUGCCACAUGAUGUAUAACACUGGGAACAAAAUUAAAAGCAUCUCUUUACAUUUGCAUCUGGCAAUGUGCUCCAUGUUAGAACCAUAGCCAUGUGUUUAUGGAGUGCAGCUCUCCUGGUCUUGAGAUACAUGCUGUUUUUUAUAGCCUAACCAGAAUAGCUCAGCACAUGCAGGACAAGAGGCUGGAAAGCCCUGGCCCCUCACCCCAGCAAGGAAGCUCAGGAUCACUGCAGGCUCCCACACUGCUUCUCUCAGCAUUGGUUUAAGUCCAGAUCUUACCCUCUUUCCACUUCUAGGGCAAAUAUUACUAAAUAUGGGUAUUUCCCAACGUAGCCUUCACCUGGGUGCAAGGGUUAGGUAGGGGGAAGGGAAGACGGGGAAAAGCUGAGAGAGUAGGAGGAGAGAGAAAACAGAAGAUACAGGGAAAAGGAGAGAAAGGUAAAUAAACCUGUUCAAGGCAAUUCCCAUUAUAUCAUGCAGGUUUGACUUUGAAUGGAUAGGAUAACUAGACAUCUGAAAGCUUAACCAGCCACACUGGUCUGCAUAUUUGGAUCCAACGUAGAGGAAGAAAACUAAUCUCAGACAUUUGCACCACUGACAAUCAGGGUAUUCAUUUGAAGGGAGGCAGUGGCGGGGUGGGGUGUGGGGGGGAGAGAUGAGAGAAUGAAUGUAAAAUGUGUCUUUAUUCCUGAAUAUCCAAGAAUCUAGGCCCUUGCUGAGAAUGAAACCCCUGCCUACUGACCAAGUGGUAGCCUUCAGAGCUCUUAUAUAUCUAACUUUCACAGGAAAGGGGGAGGAGGUCAGCUACCUCCACUCAGUGCAGCCUCUCUUCCACACAGUGUUUCCUUUCUACUGCUCAUCACUUACCACAAGUAUUGUGUUUUUCCUGGAACCAACUUAAACUGAUCUUAAAGAGGGCAAGCACUAACAACAGAAAUUCCAUUUCAACCUCCGGUGCCCUACAUGUGCUUCUCCCAGCCUCCCGGAGAAUUCUGAGUUUGUUUGUUUGUUUUGGUGGCUUGAGGAAGAUGAGGUUAUCUACUCUGAAGGAAGAUCCAGACAGCAGGAAUUAAGGAAUCAGGGACACCCUGGCAUCCUAGGCCCAGUAAGGAAUUGUCUUCCUUCUAACUGCACUGCCAGAGCUCAGAGGCUGCGGAGAGGCGGCUGCUGCUUUUCCCCCGACCCACCGGGUCCUAAAUCCCGGGAAAGGCCUCGGGGCCGAGGCCGGGGAGGCACUCUCCGCUUGUCCUCUCCCGUCCUGCAGGACCCCAACGGGUCGUCUCCUCAAAGUUAAUCCAAGGAAUCCAGCGCCUGCCUGGUUUUGCCCAUACCCUUUCCAGGUCCCAACUGGGUGGAAAGGGAAGUGGAGGAGAUGGGAAAAGGAGAUAGGAAUAUUUUAUCUUAAAAAAGACAUUCUUUUUCCUUGUUCAACACACAAAACCAAAACCCCUUUCUCUUAUUUCUCGUCUUCCGAUUCCAUUUUAGUUUCUAAUGGAGUGUGUGUGUGUGUGUGUGUGUGUGUA